UUUAUCGGAGAGUUUGAUCCUGGCUCAGGACGAACGCUGGCGGCGUGCCUAAUACAUGCAAGUCGAGCGGACAGAUGGGAGCUUGCUCCCUGAUGUUAGCGGCGGACGGGUGAGUAACACGUGGGUAACCUGCCUGUAAGACUGGGAUAACUCCGGGAAACCGGGGCUAAUACCGGAUGCUUGUUUGAACCGCAUGGUUCAAACAUAAAAGGUGGCUUCGGCUACCACUUACAGAUGGACCCGCGGCGCAUUAGCUAGUUGGUGAGGUAAUGGCUCACCAAGGCAACGAUGCGUAGCCGACCUGAGAGGGUGAUCGGCCACACUGGGACUGAGACACGGCCCAGACUCCUACGGGAGGCAGCAGUAGGGAAUCUUCCGCAAUGGACGAAAGUCUGACGGAGCAACGCCGCGUGAGUGAUGAAGGUUUUCGGAUCGUAAAGCUCUGUUGUUAGGGAAGAACAAGUGCCGUUCAAAUAGGGCG
RNAcentral lists this ribosomal RNA (481 nucleotides) under Bacillus atrophaeus. RNAcentral's name for it is "bacterial SSU rRNA". It matches the Rfam family "Bacterial small subunit ribosomal RNA", at positions 1 to 471 of the family's 1533-position model. Lineage: Bacteria; Bacillati; Bacillota; Bacilli; Caryophanales; Bacillaceae. The record is from RNAcentral.